Molecule: ribosomal RNA, 533 nt
Filed under: Vibrio parahaemolyticus
Lineage: Bacteria; Pseudomonadati; Pseudomonadota; Gammaproteobacteria; Vibrionales; Vibrionaceae
Description: partial 23S ribosomal RNA
Source: RNAcentral
CGGCCGUAACUAUAACGGUCCUAAGGUAGCGAAAUUCCUUGUCGGGUAAGUUCCGACCUGCACGAAUGGCGUAAUGAUGGCCACGCUGUCUCCACCCGAGACUCAGUGAAAUUGAAAUCGCUGUGAAGAUGCAGUGUACCCGCGGCUAGACGGAAAGACCCCGUGAACCUUUACUACAGCUUGGCACUGAACAUUGACCCUACAUGUGUAGGAUAGGUGGGAGGCUUUGAAGACGGUACGCCAGUAUCGUUGGAGCCGUCCUUGAAAUACCACCCUUGUAGUGUUGAUGUUCUAACGUYGACCCCUUAUCGGGGUUGCGGACAGUGCCUGGUGGGUAGUUUGACUGGGGCGGUCUCCUCCCAAAGAGUAACGGAGGAGCACGAAGGUGGGCUAAUCACGGUUGGACAUCGUGAGGUUAGUGCAAUGGCAUAAGCCCGCUUGACUGCGAGAAUGACAAUUCGAGCAGGUGCGAAAGCAGGUCAUAGUGAUCCGGUGGUUCUGAAUGGAAGGGCCAUCGCUCAACGGAUAAAAGG